UCCCCCGCCAACGGUUGGCAUGGUUAUACUUACGAACAUUAAGAAAAGUCUCCAAGUUUUUUAUUUAGGUAUCGAUUGCUGUGAUACAAGAAGAAACUUCCAGGAUCUCCUUGACGACGACAAAGAAGAUGACGAGGGAGGACCACAUGAGAAGGAUGAAGGACUACAGGACCAGAAGAAGAGCGGCGGUUGCCUUUCUUUCAGUGGGCGGAGGCAGGACUCCUCUGUCUCUCUCCCAGCUGGAGGUGGAUGUCAACCAACCCGUCACCUUCAGCAGACCACGACACAAGUCAAUCAGGACCCCCCCCCCCCCCCCCGCUCGUCCACCCAAACCCCCGACACCGCCCGCCCCGCCCACACAGGAAGCAGCUGUGAAGAAGACGGACGCUUCAGCCUGAACAAGACAUAAUAAUUCUUUCAUUUGUCACAUGGAAUCCUGUAUGUUCAUGUAAACUGUGUACAGUAUGUAGAUUGUUAUCUCCUGAUUUUAAUGAAUACAUUUACCACAACAUCAAAA
Long non-coding RNA from Pseudoliparis swirei, 517 nucleotides. RefSeq lists it as uncharacterized. The transcript is spliced from 2 exons. The record is from RefSeq and is a predicted model, not a curated record. NCBI's taxonomy places the organism in Eukaryota, Metazoa, Chordata, Actinopteri, Perciformes, Liparidae.